CUCCCUUCAGGGCUCUAAAUUAAAAAAUGUAAUUGGUAGCACUGGUGCGCCCAACUUAAAAAAUUUAGGAGCACCACAUGAAAUUUAGGAGCACCAGAAAAUACGAUUUUUACAUUGAUUGAGAUACAACCUAUAUUGCCUAUAUGAAUUCCAGUGCUUUUGAAGAACAUGGUGUGCCCUAGGAACAAAUAUGUAAUACUUUAUGUGCCCCCAAAUGUAUACACUGGUAAAGUUACCAGGUAGUUAGUUAGCUAGCUAGCCAAUGAGAUAACAUGACUGAACAAAGUGUAAACAAAUGAUACCUCACAUUUAUAUGGACAAGUUGUGGCUGCGGUGGCACCUGGUUGGUGUGAGGAGGAUCUAGAGCAAGCGCGGCAGCAGCACCAGAGGAUUAGGAACGCUGACUCAGACUCGGCAAAUGUGAGUCGUCCCACACCUCACAUACAUACAGAACAUACGUUACCAUAACAAACGCACCCACGCAACAACUAAUUCCUGGAAAAUGUGACCUAUUUUGACCCUGUGAUAAUUUCACUCUCCGCCUAAUGAUUUGUGGGACCUGCAAAAGGUGUUCGGACGCCAAGUGAGAGUUAAGGCCAAACUGUUGGCCCAUAUGUUUAGAUUCAAGGCCUUCUGCGCUAACAGUUUUAUUGCCCUCUAAGUCUCAGCCUCCUUGAAAUAUUCCAGCACUGAAAACAGAGCGACAUGACAUCACUGUUGAACCGGUGCUCUCAGGGCAGCCAGGGUCAAGUGCCAUAGCUGCAAAGGGAACAUCUAAACCCCUUGGGCCCCUGGGACAAGACCAGUGGAUCUCCUGAGGGUACAGAGGCACCCAUGGGGCUUAAUGUUCUGGGUUUAGAAACACUGCUGGGACUGCAUGGAGCUUGCAGGAGAACACAAAUCACCACCUACUCUAUAGCCCUAUCUGUCAAUGGAUUACUUAAAUACUCUUUGGACAAUAUCAAUAGAUUAUAUACAAAUAAUAAUGAUAAUGGAUAUAAACUCAGCAAAAAAAGAAACGUCCUCUCACUCAACUGCGUUUAUCUUCAGCAAACAUAACAUGUGUAAAUAUUUGUAGGAACAUAACAACAGUCAACAACUGAGACAUAAACUGAACAAGUUC
RNAcentral lists this long non-coding RNA (1123 nucleotides) under Salmo salar (Atlantic salmon). RNAcentral's name for it is "lncRNA (ENSSSAG00000083212.1)". The record is from RNAcentral. Lineage: Eukaryota; Metazoa; Chordata; Actinopteri; Salmoniformes; Salmonidae.